This is a long non-coding RNA of Helianthus annuus (common sunflower), 199 nucleotides long. RefSeq lists it as uncharacterized. NCBI's taxonomy places the organism in Eukaryota, Viridiplantae, Streptophyta, Magnoliopsida, Asterales, Asteraceae. The transcript is spliced from 3 exons. The record is from RefSeq and is a predicted model, not a curated record.
ACUCAAGAAAUCAAGAAUUGAAGCUAAAAUCUCAAGAAAAUUCGAUGCAUGAGCCCCUCUUUGCGAAAAUCUGACCCUAAUUAUUGAAGUGGCGUGAAAGAAGAAGGUACAAGCACUAAGCAAGCGGAAGGAGCACGAGAUCGAGGCGUGAAAGAAGAAGGUACAAGCACUAAGCAAGCGGAAGGAGCACGAGAUGGAG